This is a long non-coding RNA of Erpetoichthys calabaricus (reedfish), 1014 nucleotides long. RefSeq lists it as uncharacterized. NCBI's taxonomy places the organism in Eukaryota, Metazoa, Chordata, Cladistia, Polypteriformes, Polypteridae. The record is from RefSeq and is a predicted model, not a curated record. The transcript has 2 exons.
UUUGAGGAACGCACUAGGAGACAUUCCAACAUCAUCGUCAUCAUCAUCUUCCUUAUCAUCCUCACUUUCAUCAGACUCUGAAGACAAAGUACAGGAGUAUCUUUGUAUCACCAAACUGUGGCAUGCCACGGGCACACAGAAGCUGACAAACGACACAAGCAAAGAAAAAUCAUAAUGAGAGAAAGUGGAAAGGCAGGUGGUGGCGGCCCUCUGAUUGUAAGUAUAAUCACAACUUGCCAUCAGAGGGCCUACUUUCUGCAGGAAAAAAAGGAGGUCCUCACCUCAUUGAGGUAAUCUUCCAGGUCUGCCAGCAGUCGAAUGUAAAAUGUUGGAACACCCUCCUUAUCCACAACUGUUUUGGAUUUCAGGAAGGCCUUACACAGCUGCUCAAACUCCUCCAAACAUUUUGACACAUCCCGAAUUUUCAUUGCAUUCCGAAUAGUUUUGAUGAUGUUAGUGAGUUCCUCAAACCUGAAAGACAAACAAAUCAAUUCCAAAAAAUUCUCAUUUAAGGGCAAUGGAGCGAUAAGUGCAGGACAUGGUGUUUUAUCUCAUUUACCUCUUAUCUUUAGUGCUGCGGACCACCCUUUUCGUAUCCUCCUCAUCAUCACUCAGCAGCACAGGCCUGCAAUGCAGAGAUCAUUGUAAUAUAAGAACAAUACUUCAUUACCUAGCUCUUUUCAGAAAUAGUAUAAGGCACAAACAUAUAGAAGUAAAAGUCAAGACAAACUAAAUUCAAAUAAAGAUGGUGUCAAGCAGGACUGGGCAAUAUAUUGAAUCAUUUUUUAUCUGAUUUGAGAUUUAAUAAAAAUCAAUAUGAAGAGGUCAAUAUCUUGAUGGACAACUUCUUCUGAACAUUAAAUAAAAUCUGCAGACGCCACCGCAUUUUCUAAGUGUGUCUACAUCAAUUCUGCUGUUGUUUGUCUUGGGGGUGAUGGGCGUGAAAAAAAAAAAAAAAAUAGAGCGAGGAUCAGAAGAAAUAAGUGUUAGAUGGUUAGCUCGACUGUUUGCAAA